Long non-coding RNA from Acanthopagrus latus (yellowfin seabream), 611 nucleotides. RefSeq lists it as uncharacterized. The record is from RefSeq and is a predicted model, not a curated record. The transcript is spliced from 4 exons. NCBI's taxonomy places the organism in Eukaryota, Metazoa, Chordata, Actinopteri, Spariformes, Sparidae.
UUUAUCUGGACAAUAGCUGUUGUCAGCUGAAUGAUUCUAAUUUAGACUUCUCUGUUUGAUGAACCCAACAGCACAAUCAGCAGAGCUCAAGCACCCCUUUAUCGACCCCACCUGCCAUGUUCCAAAUAUAUUCUUCACAUACCUACUUACUGCAGAGGUCGCCCUCCCCCUGAGGAACAAGGUUCCUGGCCAGCUUUCACGGGGAGAAGCGGUUCAAAGACGCUUGAGGACAGAGCAAGAAAAAAGGACCUGAGCCAGCACAAAACAUCAAAACACAUCCGAAGAAAGCAGAGCGAGACGGAGAAAAGAAAAGGAGGGGGAAAACAAAGAAACCUGAGCAGAGAUGCAGCAGACUGACCCCCAUUGUUCACCGAAAAAACUAACAGAAUCAUCCUGUAUCUUCACCCAGAUAAUAAUAAACCUUCCUCCGCACCGAGACAGGAAGAUAUAAUCAUCUGGGGAGAGAGGAAAGGCUCAAUGAACAGAACAAAAGAGAUUAGAUGCAAAUACAUUUUGCACACUGCAGCUCCAAGUGUGACAGAGGAAAGAGGAGACACCGAAGAGACAACACAGAUCGCAAAGAACAGAAGUGAGAAUAGACACUUUGGAGA